GUCUAUGGCCAUACCACUCUGAAUGCGCCCGAUCUCGUCUAAUUUUGGAAGCUAAGCAGGGUUGGGCCUGGCUAGUACUUGGAUGGGAGACCACCUGAGAAUACCAGGUGCUGUAGGCU
Molecule: ribosomal RNA, 119 nt
Organism: Suncus etruscus (white-toothed pygmy shrew)
Lineage: Eukaryota; Metazoa; Chordata; Mammalia; Eulipotyphla; Soricidae
Source: RefSeq, a predicted model, not a curated record